AACGGAAAGGCCCUGCUUUUGUGGGGUGCUCGAGUGGCGAACGGGUGAGUAACACGUGAGUAACCUGCCCUUGACUUUGGGAUAACUUCAGGAAACUGGGGCUAAUACCGGAUAGGAGCUCCUGCUGCAUGGUGGGGGUUGGAAAGUUUCGGCGGUUGGGGAUGGACUCGCGGCUUAUCAGCUUGUUGGUGGGGUAGUGGCUUACCAAGGCUUUGACGGGUAGCCGGCCUGAGAGGGUGACCGGCCACAUUGGGACUGAGAUACGGCCCAGACUCCUACGGGAGGCAGCAGUGGGGAAUAUUGCACAAUGGGCGGAAGCCUGAUGCAGCAACGCCGCGUGCGGGAUGACGGCCUUCGGGUUGUAAACCGCUUUCGCCUGUGACGAAGCGUGAGUGACGGUAAUGGGUAAAGAAGCACCGGCUAACUACGUGCCAGCAGCCGCGGUGAUACGUAGGGUGCGAGCGUUGUCCGGAUUUAUUGGGCGUAAAGGGCUCGUAGGUGGUUGAUCGCGUCGGAAGUGUAAUCUUGGGGCUUAACCCUGAGCGUGCUUUCGAUACGGGUUGACUUGAGGAAGGUAGGGGAGAAUGGAAUUCCUGGUGGAGCGGUGGAAUGCGCAGAUAUCAGAGGAACACCAGUGGCGAAAGCGGUUCUCUGGGCCUUUCCUGACGCUGAGGAGCGAAAGCGUGGGGAGCGAACAGGCUUAGAUACCCUGGUAGUCCACGCUGUAAACGGUGGGUACUAGGUGUGGGGUCCAUUCCACGGGUUCCGU
This 769-nucleotide ribosomal RNA is filed under the name uncultured bacterium. Its description in RNAcentral is "bacterial SSU rRNA". It matches the Rfam family "Bacterial small subunit ribosomal RNA", at positions 65 to 844 of the family's 1533-position model. The record is from RNAcentral.